UAGAGUUUGAUCAUGGCUCAGGAUGAACGCUGGCGGCGUGCCUAAUACAUGCAAGUCGAGCGAAUGGAUUAAGAGCUUGCUCUUAUGAAGUUAGCGGCGGACGGGUGAGUAACACGUGGGUAACCUGCCCAUAAGACUGGGAUAACUCCGGGAAACCGGGGCUAAUACCGGAUAACAUUUUGAACCGCAUGGUUCGAAAUUGAAAGGCGGCUUCGGCUGUCACUUAUGGAUGGACCCGCGUCGCAUUAGCUAGUUGGUGAGGUAACGGCUCACCAAGGCAACGAUGCGUAGCCGACCUGAGAGGGUGAUCGGCCACACUGGGACUGAGACACGGCCCAGACUCCUACGGGAGGCAGCAGUAGGGAAUCUUCCGCAAUGGACGAAAGUCUGACGGAGCAACGCCGCGUGAGUGAUGAAGGCUUUCGGGUCGUAAAACUCUGUUGUUAGGGAAGAACAAGUGCUAGUUGAAUAAGCUGGCACCUUGACGGUACCUAACCAGAAAGCCACGGCUAACUACGUGCCAGCAGCCGCAGUAAUACA
Molecule: ribosomal RNA, 540 nt
Rfam family: Bacterial small subunit ribosomal RNA